AGAGUUUGAUCCUGGCUCAGGAUGAACGCUAGCGGCAGGCCUAACACAUGCAAGUCGAGGGGUAAGGUUCAGCUUGCUGAACACACGACCGGCGCACGGGUGAGUAACGCGUUUGUAAUCUACCUCUAACUGGGGCAUAGCCCGAAGAAAUUCGGAUUAAUACCCCAUAACAUCAUAAAAGGACAUCCUUUAAUGAUUAAAGCUCCGGCGGUUAGAGAUGAGCAUGCGUGUCAUUAGCUUGUUGGUGAGGUAACGGCUCACCAAGGCAACGAUGACUAGGGGGUCUGAGAGGAUGAUCCCCCACACUGGUACUGAGACACGGACCAGACUCCUACGGGAGGCAGCAGUGAGGAAUAUUGGGCAAUGGGCGAAAGCCUGACCCAGCCAUGCCGCGUGAAGGAUGAAUGCCCUAUGGGUUGUAAACUUCUUUUGUAAGGGAAGAAUGGUUCCUACGUGUAGGAAUUUNACGGUACCUUAUGAAUAAGCACCGGCUAACUCCGUGCCAGCAGCCGCGGUAAUACGGAGGG
RNAcentral lists this ribosomal RNA (527 nucleotides) under uncultured bacterium. RNAcentral's name for it is "bacterial SSU rRNA". It matches the Rfam family "Bacterial small subunit ribosomal RNA", at positions 8 to 532 of the family's 1533-position model. The record is from RNAcentral.